RNAcentral lists this ribosomal RNA (253 nucleotides) under uncultured prokaryote. Its description in RNAcentral is "partial 16S ribosomal RNA". It matches the Rfam family "Bacterial small subunit ribosomal RNA", at positions 525 to 777 of the family's 1533-position model. The record is from RNAcentral.
ACGGAGGGUGCGAGCGUUGUCCGGAAUCACUGGGCGUAAAGGGCGCGUAGGCGGUCCUUUAAGCGUGUGGUGAAAGCUCAGCGCUCAACGCUGAGUCGGCCAUGCGAACUGGGGGACUGGAGCGCUGUAGAGGCAGGUGGAAUUCCGGGUGUAGCGGUGGAAUGCGUAGAGAUCCGGAAGAACACCGGUGGCGAAGGCGGCCUGCUGGGCAGUAGCUGACGCUGAGGCGCGACAGCGUGGGGAGCAAACAGGA